UACGUAGGGGGCUAGCGUUGUCCGGAAUCAUUGGGCGUAAAGCGCGUGUAGGCGGUCCGGUAAGUCCGCUGUGAAAGUCGGGGGCUCAACCCUCGGAUGCCGGUGGAUACUGUCGGGCUUGAGUACGGAAGAGGCGAGUGGAAUUCCUGGUGUAGCGGUGAAAUGCGCAGAUAUCAGGAGGAACACCAAUUGCGAAGGCAGCUCGCUGGGACGUUACUGACGCUCAGGCACGAAAGCAUGGGGAGCAAAAGGG
Molecule: ribosomal RNA, 253 nt
Filed under: uncultured bacterium
Lineage: Bacteria
Description: partial 16S ribosomal RNA
Rfam family: Bacterial small subunit ribosomal RNA
Source: RNAcentral